GGCCAAUGGCGCAGGCUACACAUGCAAGUCGAGCGGUAGCACAGAGAGCUUGCUCUCGGGUGACGAGCGGCGGACGGGUGAGUAAUGUCUGGGAAACUGCCUGAUGGAGGGGGAUAACUACUGGAAACGGUAGCUAAUACCGCAUAACGUCGCAAGACCAAAGUGGGGGACCUUCGGGCCUCAUGCCAUCAGAUGUGCCCAGAUGGGAUUAGCUGGUAGGUGGGGUAACGGCUCACCUAGGCGACGAUCCCUAGCUGGUCUGAGAGGAUGACCAGCCACACUGGAACUGAGACACGGUCCAGACUCCUACGGGAGGCAGCAGUGGGGAAUAUUGCACAAUGGGCGCAAGCCUGAUGCAGCCAUGCCGCGUGUGUGAAGAAGGCCUUCGGGUUGUAAAGCACUUUCAGCGGGGAGGAAGGCGGUGAGGUUAAUAACCUCAUCGAUUGACGUUACCCGCAGAAGAAGCACCGGCUAACUCCGUGCCAGCAGCCGCGGUAAUACGGAGGGUGCAAGCGUUAAUCGGAAUUACUGGGCGUAAAGCGCACGCAGGCGGUCUGUCAAGUCGGAUGUGAAAUCCCCGGGCUCAACCUGGGAACUGCAUUCGAAACUGGCAGGCUAGAGUCUUGUAGAGGGGGGUAGAAUUCCAGGUGUAGCGGUGAAAUGCGUAGAGAUCUGGAGGAAUACCGGUGGCGAAGGCGGCCCCCUGGACAAAGACUGACGCUCAGGUGCGAAAGCGUGGGGAGCAAACAGGAUUAGAUACCCUGGUAGUCCACGCUGUAAACGAUGUCGAUUUGGAGGUUGUGCCCUUGAGGCGUGGCUUCCGGAGCUAACGCGUUAAAUCGACCGCCUGGGGAGUACGGCCGCAAGGUUAAAACUCAAAUGAAUUGACGGGGGCCCGCACAAGCGGUGGAGCAUGUGGUUUAAUUCGAUGCAACGCGAAGAACCUUACCUGGUCUUGACAUCCACAGAACUUUCCAGAGAUGGAUUGGUGCCUUCGGGAACUGUGAGACAGGUGCUGCAUGGCUGUCGUCAGCUCGUGUUGUGAAAUGUUGGGUUAAGUCCCGCAACGAGCGCAACCCUUAUCCUUUGUUGCCAGCGGUUAGGCCGGGAACUCAAAGGAGACUGCCAGUGAUAAACUGGAGGAAGGUGGGGAUGACGUCAAGUCAUCAUGGCCCUUACGACCAGGGCUACACACGUGCUACAAUGGCAUAUACAAAGAGAAGCGACCUCGCGAGAGCAAGCGGACCUCAUAAAGUAUGUCGUAGUCCGGAUUGGAGUCUGCAACUCGACUCCAUGAAGUCGGAAUCGCUAGUAAUCGUAGAUCAGAAUGCUACGGUGAAUACGUUCCCGGGCCUUGUACACACCGCCCGUCACACCAUGGGAGUGGGUUGCAAAAGAAGUAGGUAGCUUAACCUUCGGGAGGGCGCUACCACUUUGAUCAGGGGC
RNAcentral lists this ribosomal RNA (1446 nucleotides) under Klebsiella pneumoniae. RNAcentral's name for it is "bacterial SSU rRNA". It matches the Rfam family "Bacterial small subunit ribosomal RNA". The record is from RNAcentral. Lineage: Bacteria; Pseudomonadati; Pseudomonadota; Gammaproteobacteria; Enterobacterales; Enterobacteriaceae.